UACGUAGGGGGCGAGCGUUGUCCGGAUUUACUGGGCGUAAAGAGCGCGUAGGCGGAAAUUUAAGCGUGGCCUGAAAGCCCCCGGCUCAACCGGGGAGUGCGGCUGCGAACUGGGUUUCUUGAGGACGAUAGAGGAGAGUGGAAUUCCUGGUGUAGCGGUGAAAUGCGUAGAUAUCAGGAGGAACACCCGAGGCGAAGGCGGCUCUCUGGGCCAUUACUGACGCUGAGGAGCGAAAGCGUGGGGAGCGAACAGG
This 253-nucleotide ribosomal RNA is filed under the name uncultured bacterium. RNAcentral describes it as "partial 16S ribosomal RNA". It matches the Rfam family "Bacterial small subunit ribosomal RNA", at positions 524 to 776 of the family's 1533-position model. The record is from RNAcentral.